UACGGGGGGGGCAAGCGUUGUUCGGAAUUACUGGGCGUAAAGGGCUCGUAGGCGGCCAACUAAGUCAGACGUGAAAUCCCUCGGCUUAACCGGGGAACUGCGUCUGAUACUGGAUGGCUUGAGUGUGGGAGAGGGAUGCGGAAUUCCAGGUGUAGCGGUGAAAUGCGUAGAUAUCUGGAGGAACACCGGUGGCGAAGGCGGCAUCCUGGACCACGACUGACGCUGAGGAGCGAAAGCCAGGGGAGCAAACAGG
Molecule: ribosomal RNA, 253 nt
Filed under: uncultured bacterium
Lineage: Bacteria
Description: partial 16S ribosomal RNA
Rfam family: Bacterial small subunit ribosomal RNA
Source: RNAcentral